Molecule: ribosomal RNA, 1410 nt
Filed under: metagenome
Description: bacterial SSU rRNA
Rfam family: Archaeal small subunit ribosomal RNA
Source: RNAcentral
GCGGGAGAUUGCUGCUAUUGGGAUUCGAUUAAGCCAUGCAAGUCAUCCAGCAAUGGAGGCAUAAGGCUCAGUAACACGUCGGUAAUCUGCCCUACGGUCAGGGAUAGCUUCGCGAAAGUGAGGGUAAAACCUGAUAUGGAAAAAGCCCUGGAAUGGGCUCUUCCUGAAACUCGUGCCGUAGGAUGAGCUGGCGGCGGAUUAGGUUUGGCGGUGUAACGGACCCAAGCCUAGGAUCCGUACGGGCCAUGAGAGUGGUAGCCCGGAGAGGGACACUGAGAUACUGGUCCCAGCCCCACGGGGUGCAGCAGGCGCGAAACCUUUCCAAUGCACGCAAGUGUGAGAAGGGAAUCCCAAGUGCUCAACUAUGUUGGGCUUUUGCCAUGUGUAAAAAGCUUGGCGAAUAAGGGGUGGGCAAGACUGGUGCCAGCCGCCGCGGUAACCCCAGCGCCCCAAGUGGCAAUCACGAUUAUUGGGUCUAAAGCGUUCGUAGCAGGUCUUGUUAAUCUUUUGUGAAAUCGGCAGGCUUAACCUGUCGGCGCGCAGGGGACACUGCAGGACUCGGGACCGGGAGAGGUUAGAAGUAUUCCUUGGGUACCGGUAAAAUGGGUUAAUCCAAGGAGGACUACCAAUGGCGAAGGCAUCUGACCAGAACGGGUCUGACUGUGAGGAACGAAAGCUAGGGGAGCAAAACGGAUUAGAUACCCGAGUAGUCCUAGCUGUAAACGCUGUGAGCAAGGUAUUGCGCACCCCACGAGGAUGCGCAGUGUCGAAGAGAAGUCGCUAAGCUCACCACCAGGGAAGUACUGUCGCAAGGCUGAAACUUUAAGGAAUUGGCGGGGAGACACCACAAGGGGUGCGGCGUGCGGUUCAAUCUAACUCAACGCAGAGAACCUCACUAGAGCCGACGGCAGAAUGAAGGUCAUGCUGAAGACAUUACCUGACAAGCCGAGAGGUAGUGCAUGGCCGUCGCCAGCUCGUGCUGUGAAGCGUCCAGUUAAGUCUGGCAACGAGCGAGACCUGUACCCUCUAUUGCUAACAACACCUUCGGGUGGAUUGAGCACUUUGAGGGGACUGCCCUGGAAACAGGGAGGAAGGUGCAGGCUACGGUAGGUCUGUAUGCUCCGAAUGCUCUAGGCUACACGCGCGCAACAAUGGUAGGGACAAUGGGAUGCCACUCCGAAAGGAGGAGCUAAACCUCUAAACCCUAUCCUAGUCCAGAUCGAGGCUUGUAACUCAGCCUCGUGACGAUGGAAUCCCUAGUAAUCGGAUUUUAUCAUAGUCCGGUGAAUAUGUCCCUGUCUCUUGCACACACCGCCCGUCAAACCAAUCGAGCAGGGUUUAGGUGAAACCCGACUUUAUUGGUCGUGUUGAACCUAAGCUCAGUGAGAUGGGUUAAGUCGUCACAAGGUC